ACUUUUAAAGGAUAGAAGUAAUCCAAUGGUUUUAGGUACCAUUCCC
RNAcentral lists this transfer RNA (46 nucleotides) under Elseya albagula (White-throated snapping turtle). RNAcentral's name for it is "partial tRNA-Leu". The record is from RNAcentral. Lineage: Eukaryota; Metazoa; Chordata; Testudines; Chelidae.